RNAcentral lists this ribosomal RNA (1025 nucleotides) under Enterobacter hormaechei. RNAcentral describes it as "partial 23S ribosomal RNA". It matches the Rfam family "Bacterial large subunit ribosomal RNA", at positions 146 to 1212 of the family's 2925-position model. Lineage: Bacteria; Pseudomonadati; Pseudomonadota; Gammaproteobacteria; Enterobacterales; Enterobacteriaceae. The record is from RNAcentral.
CACUAUCGUUAACUGAAUACAUAGGUUAACGAGGCGAACCGGGGGAACUGAAACAUCUAAGUACCCCGAGGAAAAGAAAUCAACCGAGAUUCCCCCAGUAGCGGCGAGCGAACGGGGAGCAGCCCGGAGUCUGAAUCAGCUUGUGUGUUAGUGGAACGGUCUGGAAAGUCCGACGGUACAGGGUGAUAGUCCCGUACACGAAAAUGCACAUGCUGUGAACUCGAAGAGUAGGGCGGGACACGUGGUAUCCUGUCUGAAUAUGGGGGGACCAUCCUCCAAGGCUAAAUACUCCUGACUGACCGAUAGUGAACCAGUACCGUGAGGGAAAGGCGAAAAGAACCCCGGCGAGGGGAGUGAAAAAGAACCUGAAACCGUGUACGUACAAGCAGUGGGAGCCUCUUUAUGGGGUGACUGCGUACCUUUUGUAUAAUGGGUCAGCGACUUAUAUUCUGUAGCAAGGUUAACCGUAUAGGGGAGCCGAAGGGAAACCGAGUCUUAACUGGGCGUUAAGUUGCAGGGUAUAGACCCGAAACCCGGUGAUCUAGCCAUGGGCAGGUUGAAGGUUGGGUAACACUAACUGGAGGACCGAACCGACUAAUGUUGAAAAAUUAGCGGAUGACCUGUGGCUGGGGGUGAAAGGCCAAUCAAACCGGGAGAUAGCUGGUUCUCCCCGAAAGCUAUUUAGGUAGCGCCUCGUGAACUCAUCUUCGGGGGUAGAGCACUGUUUCGGCUAGGGGGCCAUCCCGGCUUACCAACCCGAUGCAAACUACGAAUACCGAAGAAUGUUAUCACGGGAGACACACGGCGGGUGCUAACGUCCGUCGUGAAGAGGGAAACAACCCAGACCGCCAGCUAAGGUCCCAAAGUCAUGGUUAAGUGGGAAACGAUGUGGGAAGGCACAGACAGCCAGGAUGUUGGCUUAGAAGCAGCCAUCAUUUAAAGAAAGCGUAAUAGCUCACUGGUCGAGUCGGCCUGCGCGGAAGAUGUAACGGGGCUAAACCAUGCACCGAAGCUGCGGCAGCGAC